This is a small nucleolar RNA of Dioscorea cayenensis subsp. rotundata (Guinea yam), 107 nucleotides long. NCBI's taxonomy places the organism in Eukaryota, Viridiplantae, Streptophyta, Magnoliopsida, Dioscoreales, Dioscoreaceae. The record is from RefSeq and is a predicted model, not a curated record.
AGGUCGUGAUGCGGACAUUUCCUCAACAAAUCUUUAAACCUCCCCCAUGCCUCAAAAAAUGAUUCAAUGUCCAAUUGUGUAUAUACAUUAAUCUCUUAACACAACUU